Molecule: ribosomal RNA, 413 nt
Filed under: uncultured bacterium
Lineage: Bacteria
Description: bacterial SSU rRNA
Rfam family: Bacterial small subunit ribosomal RNA
Source: RNAcentral
GGCGCAGGGUGCGUAACGCGUGGGAAGUCUGCCCUUGGGAUUCGGAAUAACAGCGAGAAAUAGAUGCUAAUACCGGAUAAUGACGUAAGUCCAAAGAUUUAUCGCCCAGGGAUGAGCCCGCGUAGGAUUAGCUAGUUGGUGGGGUAAAGGCCUACCAAGGCGACGAUCCUUAGCUGGUCUGAGAGGAUUGGCCCCCACAUGGGUACUGAGAGACGGACCCAACUCCUACGGGAGGCAGCAGUAGGGAAUAUUGGGCAAUGGGCGCAAGCCUGACCCAGCCAUGCCGCGUGCCGGAUGAAGGCGCUCAGCGUUGUAAACGGCUUUUAUCAAGGAAGAACGUUAUCCCUGAGGGGGUAAGUGACGGUACUUGAGGAAUCAGCACCGGCUAACUCCGUGCCAGCAGCCGCGGUAAU